UACGUAGGGACCAAGCGUUGUUCGGAUUUACUGGGCGUAAAGGGCGCGUAGGCGGCUUAACAAGUCACUUGUGAAAUCUCCGGGCUUAACUCGGAACGGCCAAGUGAAACUGUCAAGCUAGAGUGCAGAAGGGGCAAUCGGAAUUCCUGGUGUAGCGGUGAAAUGCGCAGAUAUCAGGAGGAACACCGGUGGCGAAGGCGGAUCUCUGGGCCAUUACUGACGCUGAGGAGCGAAAGCGUGGGGAGCGAACAGG
Molecule: ribosomal RNA, 253 nt
Filed under: uncultured bacterium
Lineage: Bacteria
Description: partial 16S ribosomal RNA
Rfam family: Bacterial small subunit ribosomal RNA
Source: RNAcentral